AGAGUUUGAUCCUGGCUCAGAACAAACGCUGGUGGCGUGUAUUAAGCAUGCAAGUCGAGCGGCAAGGCGGGGCGACCCGCCCUAGAGCGGCGGACUGGCGAGUAACGCGUGGGUAAUCUACCUUGGGCAUGGGGAUAGCCAUUAGAAAUAGUGGGUAAUACCGAAUACGCUCGCGGGGGGAAGGGUCCUGUGAGGAAAGGGUGCUACGGCACCGGCCUGAGAUGAGCUCGCGUCCCAUUAGCUAGUUGGUGAGGUAAGGGCCCACCAAGGCGAUGAUGGGUAGCCGGCCUGAGAGGGUGUACGGCCACACUGGGACUGAGAUACGGCCCAGACUCCUACGGGAGGCAGCAGCUAAGAAUAUUCCGCAAUGGACGAAAGUCUGACGGAGCGACGCCGCGUGGAUGAAGAAGGCCGAAAGGUUGUAAAGUUCUUUUGCGAGGGAAGAAUAACCGCAGGAGGGAAUGCCUGUGGGAUGACAUGAACUUGCGAAUAAGCCCCGGCCAACUACGUGCCAGCAGCCGCGGUAACACGUAGGGGGCGAGCGUUGUUCGGAAUUACUGGGCGUAAAGGGCAUGUAGGCGGUCUGGUAAGCCUGGCGUGAAAGACCACAGCUUAACUGUGGGGUUGCGUUGGGAACUGCUGGGCUUGAGUGACGGAGAGGGAGCUGGAAUUCCUGGUGUAGGGGUGAAAUCUGUAGAUAUCAGGAAGAACACCGAUGGCGAAAGCAAGCUCCUGGCCGAUGACUGACGCUGAGGUGCGAAAGUGUGGGGGAUCAAACAGGAUUAGAUACCCUGGUAGUCCACACGGUAAACGAUGUGCACUAUGUGCUGGGGCGGUAGCCUCGGUGCCGGAGCGAACGUGGUAAGUGCACCGCCUGGGGAGUAUGCUCGCAAGGGUGAAACUCAAAGGAAUUGACGG
This 918-nucleotide ribosomal RNA is filed under the name Spirochaetaceae bacterium enrichment culture clone B312137. Its description in RNAcentral is "bacterial SSU rRNA". It matches the Rfam family "Bacterial small subunit ribosomal RNA", at positions 8 to 916 of the family's 1533-position model. Lineage: Bacteria; Pseudomonadati; Spirochaetota; Spirochaetia; Spirochaetales; Spirochaetaceae. The record is from RNAcentral.